Oxyura jamaicensis (ruddy duck) is the source of this 401-nucleotide long non-coding RNA. RefSeq lists it as uncharacterized. The transcript has 2 exons. Lineage: Eukaryota; Metazoa; Chordata; Aves; Anseriformes; Anatidae. The record is from RefSeq and is a predicted model, not a curated record.
AAAAAGAAAAAUGUCCAAAAUAGCACACGCACAUAGAAAAUGUAAUGCAACGUUCUGAAGAAGAUGGUGUAUUGGCAAGUGGAAAUCACCCUUAAUGUUUUUAAGUUCUCAUGCUACAGAUGUGUUUGGAAGGUUUCUGUAUUCUUUGAUGUCCACCAGAUAUAUAUAUUUUUUUCAAUUAAUGUGUAAAACAGCAUCACUGCAUUUUAAGCUAUGGAUUUUUUUGUAUAUUCUUUAUUUAUAACUGUGCCAAGUAUUAUUUUAAUACUGUCAGGAUCUUGAUGUAUUACAUUGUGAACAAAAAAUCUGUAAAAUGUUUAAUAAGUUAGCUCUCCUUACAUAAAUUAAAUCUGUUAAAUUUUGUAAGUUAUUAAUCAAAUAAAUAUUGACUCUUAGAUGCA